AAGGUGGUGCAUGCUUAUCCUAGCAUAGAAAGCACGUCCUCGAAGUUCCUCCUGCAGAAUACGGAAGUAUUGGGGGGGAAUAUUCUUUGCUAAAAAGUGACUGCUGAAAUGGAGAUUGUGUGGCGAUAUUAUGAGACCAUAAAGGAGCUUUGUGGGGAGUCGGCACACUUGAGCAAGCAGUGGACGGGGCCGUCAUGAAUGCGUUCGAUGUAUUUUUCCAAGUCCUAUCUUUACUAUCCUUAAUUCCCUAGGAAGAAGUAGAGGAGGGGGCCAUUUCGCUUUCCGGAGAUAGCGACACUGGUCUCUGUUUAAUGCCCACCCAA
Juglans microcarpa x Juglans regia is the source of this 323-nucleotide long non-coding RNA. RefSeq lists it as uncharacterized. The transcript is spliced from 2 exons. The record is from RefSeq and is a predicted model, not a curated record. NCBI's taxonomy places the organism in Eukaryota, Viridiplantae, Streptophyta, Magnoliopsida, Fagales, Juglandaceae.